RNAcentral lists this small RNA (86 nucleotides) under Salmonella enterica. RNAcentral describes it as "partial RtT sRNA". It matches the Rfam family "RtT RNA", at positions 45 to 130 of the family's 130-position model. Rfam says of the family: This family represents a bacterial cis-regulatory element known as RtT RNA. The exact function of RtT is unknown although it is thought that it may be involved in changing the cellular response in relation to amino acid starvation. The record is from RNAcentral. RNAcentral also lists the same sequence under 4 other names. Lineage: Bacteria; Pseudomonadati; Pseudomonadota; Gammaproteobacteria; Enterobacterales; Enterobacteriaceae.
GACUCGAGCGAAGCGAGAGAACGUUGCGUCAGCAACGGCCCGCAGGGCGAGUCACGCAGUGGCGAGUCAUCCUCUAUCACCGACCA